CCUGGUGGCAGACGGGUGAGUAACACGUGGGCAACCUACCGUAGAUGGGGGAUAACUAACCGAAAGGUUAGCUAAUACCGCAUGAAACGUGCUGUGGCAUCACAGAACGUUAAAAGGAGCAAUCCGCUUUAUAACGGGCCCGCGUCCGAUUAGCUAGUUGGUGGGGUAACGGCCUACCAAGGCUCCGAUCGGUAGCUGGUUUGAGAGAGCGACCAGCCACACUGGGACUGAGAAACGGCCCAG
This 243-nucleotide ribosomal RNA is filed under the name uncultured bacterium. RNAcentral's name for it is "partial 16S ribosomal RNA". It matches the Rfam family "Bacterial small subunit ribosomal RNA", at positions 91 to 334 of the family's 1533-position model. The record is from RNAcentral.